Molecule: ribosomal RNA, 273 nt
Filed under: uncultured bacterium
Lineage: Bacteria
Description: partial 16S ribosomal RNA
Rfam family: Bacterial small subunit ribosomal RNA
Source: RNAcentral
UACGUAGGGGGCAAGCGUUGUCCGGAAUCAUUGGGCGUAAAGCGCGUGUAGGCGGCCCGGUAAGUCCGCUGUGAAAGUCCAGGGCUCAACCCUGGGAUGCCAGUGGAUACUGUCGGGCUAGAGUCCGGAAGAGGCGAGUGGAAUUCCUGGUGUAGCGGUGAAAUGCGCAGAUAUCAGGAGGAACACCAAUGGCGAAGGCAGCUCGCUGGGACGGUACUGACGCUGAGACGCGAAAGCGUGGGGAGCAAACAGGAUUAGAAACCCCAGUAGUCC